Molecule: long non-coding RNA, 260 nt
Organism: Scophthalmus maximus (turbot)
Lineage: Eukaryota; Metazoa; Chordata; Actinopteri; Pleuronectiformes; Scophthalmidae
Exons: 2
Source: RefSeq, a predicted model, not a curated record
CUGGAAAGUCCGAUCCUCGUAGAUCGGUGCGAUGUGGCGGUCUGGGGACAUGGCUGACCUCAAAUCCUGGCCCAGCUGGCUGUGUUGACUGGCGUAUGAGCUCCGCAUUCCUGUGGAUAUACGAUUUUGGUUAAUGAGACGAACAGACUGGAGCAAAAAUAAUAAACACUGCACUAAAUGGGCCACCCAACCAGAGCCAAUAUGGUCGCUCAAAAAAAGCACGUGAACCAAUCAGAGCAGAAGUCAGAGCAGAUGUUGGG